This is a long non-coding RNA of Serinus canaria (Common canary), 1061 nucleotides long. RefSeq lists it as uncharacterized. The record is from RefSeq and is a predicted model, not a curated record. The transcript has 5 exons. NCBI's taxonomy places the organism in Eukaryota, Metazoa, Chordata, Aves, Passeriformes, Fringillidae.
CUUGGCACGCUUCCAAUCCUGAAAUUGCUUCCACUGCUGUUGCCUCCUCCCCUUUCUGUUCAGGUUUCUGCUCCGCGGUCACGUCAGACCCCUCCACACCCUCCAGGCACAUCCAGCCUUCAGAAACUAGCAGGCACUCUGAAAUGAAAUGUAAAAUCAGAGCAAGGCUGGAGAACUUUUCUCCCAGGACCAAAAACAAAAGCCCAAAUUUUGCCUGGAAAUCCUGACAAGCUACCAGAACAACUCCUGGGAUAAAGCCUUGCAAUGACUUCACAUGAAGUCUGAAUCCAGAGAGAUGCAAUUUAACUCCAGGAGAGGUUGUCAGCCUGAUCUACUGUCCUAAAUUAUGCAGAUCAAAUCAGAUGACUGGAUCCACUAAUCAUAAAUCAAAAUUUAUACUCCAAGAGCAGUUAGAGAUUCAUUCACAACAGCCUGACUCCAGGUCUUGGGGACCAGUCUCCCAGUUUUCACCUGGGAAAGGGAUAAUGCAGCAAAGAAGAGCCAGAAUCCCAAAGGACUGGGCUGGAUGCCCCCUGCCCCAGCAGUGUUGCCAAAAAGGACAACGCCCAAAAUUCAUGUCCAGUUGAACAUUUGACUAAACAAAACUAUGGAAUUAUCUGCCAUGAGCACUGUCUACUCUUUGUGAGUGUUCUGAAGUCCUUCAUCUCAAAAACACAAUAACUUAAUUUUAAAAGAGAAUAAACAGCUUUAAACAGAAAGACUAACAAAACAUGAGAUAUCUUAAUAUAUUUGGUGAAGAGACUAGAAAAGACCUUUUCUAAGAGAAGGGAAGAUUAAAAUAAAACAAAAAAAACAAAAAAAUAAUUUCCAGCAAAGUCAACAGGAACGAACUUCCAAAGAGAAAACUCUUUGAAAUCAUGAGGAAAUUUGUCAAGAUUUCACAUUAAUAAAUUAAAAUUUAUAGGAAAAAAUCUUUUAUACAUUUUUUAUGGGUCAAAUAUAGCCAGUUAGCCAAAAAAUUAAAAUUGAGCAGUAUGGAUUGGGGUCCAACAGGCUGGUGACAGGAUGAGAAAGCCACCUCGGAGAUCUGAGAAUCCUGC